Fusarium redolens is the source of this 73-nucleotide non-coding RNA. The record is from the annotation of a RefSeq genome assembly. NCBI's taxonomy places the organism in Eukaryota, Fungi, Ascomycota, Sordariomycetes, Hypocreales, Nectriaceae.
GCCUUCAUAGCUCAAUGGUGGGAGCGCCGCACUUCUAAUGCAAAGGUUUAUAGUUCAGUCCUACGUGGAGCCA